Molecule: ribosomal RNA, 467 nt
Filed under: uncultured bacterium
Lineage: Bacteria
Description: partial 16S ribosomal RNA
Rfam family: Bacterial small subunit ribosomal RNA
Source: RNAcentral
UGGGGAAUUUUGGACGAAUUGGGGGCAACCGUGAUCCAGCAAUGCCGCGUGUAUGAAGAAGGCCUUCGGGUUGUAAAGCACUUUUGUCCGGAAAGAAAACGCCGUGGUUAAUACCCGUGGCGGAUGACGGUACCGGAAGAAUAAGCACCGGCUAACUACGUGCCAGCAGCCGCGGUAAUACGUAGGGUGCAAGCGUUAAUCGGAAUUACUGGGCGUAAAGCGUGCGCAGGCGGUCCGCUAAGACAGAUGUGAAAUCCCCGGGCUUAACCUGGGAACUGCAUUUGUGACUGGCGGGCUAGAGUAUGGCAGAGGGGGGUAGAAUUCCACGUGUAGCAGUGAAAUGCGUAGAGAUGUGGAGGAAUACCGAUGGCGAAGGCAGCCCCCUGGGCCAAUACUGACGCUCAUGCACGAAAGCGUGGGGAGCAAACAGGAUUAGAUACCCUGGUAUCCACGCCCUAAACGAUGUC